GAGGUGGCUGCUAUAGGAGUUCGAAUUAGCCAUGCAAGUCAGGCCGCAAGGCACCGGCGAUAGGCUCAGUAACACGUCGAUAAUCUGCCCUAAGGUCGAUGAAAGCUACGCGAAAGUGUGGGUAAACAUCGAUAGGCAAUAGGCACUGUAAGGUCCUUUUGCUUAAACUCGUGCCUUAGGAUGAGUCGGCGGCUGAUUAGGUAGUUGGCGGGGUAAAGGCCCACCAAGCCUUGGAUCAGUACGGGCCAUGAAAGUGGUAGCCCGGAGAGGGACACUGAGAUACUGGUCCCAGCCCUACGGGGUGCAGCAGGCGCGUAAACUCUCCAAUGUGCGAAAGCGUGAGAGGGGAACUCCUAGUGCUUACGGUUCAUCCGUAGGCUUUUGCCAUGUGUAAAAAGCAUGGCGAAUAAGUGGUGGGUAAGACUGGUGCCAGCCGCCGCGGUAACACCAGCGCCACAAGUGGCCAUCGCGAUUAUUGGGCCUAAAGCGUCCGUAGUCGGCUAGAUACAUCUUCUGUGAAAUCGCAGCGCUUAACGUUGCGGCAUGCGGAAGACACGGUCUAGCUUGAGAGCGGGAGGCGUGAAGGGUACUCCGGGGGGACCGGUAAAAUGGUAUAAUCCCCGGAAGACCACCUGUGGCGAGG
RNAcentral lists this ribosomal RNA (643 nucleotides) under uncultured euryarchaeote. RNAcentral's name for it is "bacterial SSU rRNA". It matches the Rfam family "Archaeal small subunit ribosomal RNA", at positions 20 to 671 of the family's 1478-position model. Lineage: Archaea; Methanobacteriati; Methanobacteriota. The record is from RNAcentral.